Small nucleolar RNA from Myripristis murdjan (pinecone soldierfish), 80 nucleotides. Ensembl annotates it as small nucleolar RNA MBII-202. NCBI's taxonomy places the organism in Eukaryota, Metazoa, Chordata, Actinopteri, Holocentriformes, Holocentridae. The record is from Ensembl.
UGAUGACAAUUUCUCCGGAAUCUCUGCACUUCAUUGAUGAUUCCAUUGAACCCCUUUUCUGAUGACUGCUGUGCUUAAAU